Molecule: microRNA precursor, 88 nt
Filed under: Canis lupus familiaris (dog)
Lineage: Eukaryota; Metazoa; Chordata; Mammalia; Carnivora; Canidae
Also listed under: 1 other name
Description: mir-8799 microRNA precursor family
Rfam family: mir-8799 microRNA precursor family
Source: Rfam by way of RNAcentral
CGGGGGAGGCCGGAUCCGGGCUGUGUCCCGGCGCCCUGUGCUCCGGGGCCUGCGCUGUUCGAGCCGUGCUCCCGCCCCGCAGCCCCCU